This is a small nuclear RNA of Lupinus angustifolius (narrow-leaved blue lupine), 196 nucleotides long. It matches the Rfam family "U2 spliceosomal RNA". Rfam says of the family: U2 is a small nuclear RNA (snRNA) component of the spliceosome (involved in pre-mRNA splicing). Complementary binding between U2 snRNA (in an area lying towards the 5' end but 3' to hairpin I) and the branchpoint sequence (BPS) of the intron results the bulging out of an unpaired adenosine, on the BPS, which initiates a nucleophilic attack at the intronic 5' splice site, thus starting the first of two transesterification reactions that mediate splicing. Lineage: Eukaryota; Viridiplantae; Streptophyta; Magnoliopsida; Fabales; Fabaceae. The record is from Rfam.
AUACCUUUCUCGGCCUUUUGGCUAAGAUCAAGUGUAGUAUCUGUUCUUAUCAGUUUAAUAUCUGAUAUGUGAGUUAUUGGCUCACAUGAUAUUAAAUUAAUUUUUUAAGGGGGAGAGGUCACCUCAAUAGCUUGCUAUUGGAUUUCUCUUGUGUCGCCUGUGUCUUGCACUAUAGCACUGGCCUGGCAUGCCCCAA